This 399-nucleotide long non-coding RNA is filed under the name Pandoravirus salinus. RNAcentral's name for it is "putative ncRNA". The record is from RNAcentral.
CACCGUCGGCCGACGGCACAGCGCGCCGACACGAGCCGUCCAGAUGCGAGGCAUGCGCCAAAGUCGGCAUGUUCCUCCACCCCACAUUCGCAGAUCGAGCAUCGGCAGUGGUACGAGCGGAGAUUGCCGCCCGCACGCGACGCCCAUGCAUCGCGCAGUAAAUUGGCGCGCUCAGGACCCACAGCGCCAGCCGAGGCGAUCACGGCGGCCCACCGCGGAUGGGUCAUGCGCGCGGCAAAGCGCCACGCCGGAUGCAAAAAGGGCACGCCGCGCUCGUCGACGCCGUUGAGGAUCAUGUCGAGGAUCUCGGUCGGCAGCGACUCUGUCAUUUCUCUCCCUCUUUUUUUUCCCGUUUGUUUAAAUAGAGUUUGGCUUUGCCGUUGCUUGGCGGCUUUGUGG